ACACUUACCAGGCAGGGGAGAUACCGUGAUCACGAAGGUGGCUUUCCCAGGGCGAAGCUCAUCCAUUACACUCUGGAUGUGCUGAGCCCUGCGAUUUCCCCAAAUGUGGGAAACUCAGCUGCAUAAUUUGUGGUAGUGGGGCCUGUGCUGGUGCCCUCCCUGC
Molecule: small nuclear RNA, 163 nt
Filed under: Myotis davidii
Lineage: Eukaryota; Metazoa; Chordata; Mammalia; Chiroptera; Vespertilionidae
Description: U1 spliceosomal RNA
Rfam family: U1 spliceosomal RNA
About the family: U1 is a small nuclear RNA (snRNA) component of the spliceosome (involved in pre-mRNA splicing). Its 5' end forms complementary base pairs with the 5' splice junction, thus defining the 5' donor site of an intron.
Source: Rfam by way of RNAcentral